Molecule: ribosomal RNA, 254 nt
Filed under: uncultured bacterium
Lineage: Bacteria
Description: partial 16S ribosomal RNA
Rfam family: Bacterial small subunit ribosomal RNA
Source: RNAcentral
UACGUAGGGCGCGAGCGUUUGUCCGGAAUUAUUGGGCGUAAAGAGCUCGUAGGCGGCUUGUCGCGUCGGAUGUGAAAGCCCGGGGCUUAACUCCGGGUCUGCAUUCGAUACGGGCAGGCUAGAGUUCGGUAGGGGAGAUCGGAAUUCCUGGUGUAGCGGUGAAAUGCGCAGAUAUCAGGAGGAACACCGGUGGCGAAGGCGGAUCUCUGGGCCGAUACUGACGCUGAGGAGCGAAAGCGUGGGGAGCGAACAGG